RNAcentral lists this long non-coding RNA (1872 nucleotides) under Sus scrofa (pig). RNAcentral's name for it is "lncRNA (ENSSSCG00015031615.1)". The record is from RNAcentral. Lineage: Eukaryota; Metazoa; Chordata; Mammalia; Artiodactyla; Suidae.
GCUGUGUCCAGGAUUUCUCUUCUUGUUCCUUGCUUUUGGGCUUUGGGGCACUUCACCGCCCAUUAGCAUCACCAUCAGAGGAAAUAAAGAAGGAAGGGGAGCGAAGACUCAAACCUGCUUUGGAAAUGAGUGGCAUUCUAUUAGGUCUAUGAGAUUAGGAGUGAUGUACAGAUUUAAUUUAUCCUAACAUUUCACAUGAAUCAUUAAAAUUUGAUGAUAAGGGAUUUUGUACAGAUGUUAAUUUCAAAGUUCUAUUUUGUAAGUCAGGCAUCAAGAACAUAUAUAGCCAAGGCAAGUCCUAUUUAACUAAAUCUUAAAUGUCUUGAAAGGAAGGGAGCUUACUUUUUUUGAAUGCCUAUUAUGUUCUAGGCACCAACUUAAGUAUUUUAUAUAGGUUACCCCAUUAAUGCUUGCAAACAAUCUGUAGGUAAAUGUUAUUUUCUCCAAUUUACACAUGAGGGAACUGAGGCUAAGUAAGAGCUCAUGCAGUAGGUGAUUUUAAACUUGAAUCCAGCCCUUUUUUGACAAAGGCACAAUUCAACCCAGCAUUUUUUUCGUGCUGCUUUUGCUUUGAAAGUGGGAAUUCUUCAUCUUUGUAUCUUCUGUAGUAUCAAAUACAGUACCUGGGAUGAAGAAAGCAUAUGAUAAAUAUUUUAAAAUUAAAUUUAAUUAUUUCAGAGCAAUUUUUCCAAAAGGAAAUUAAUUUUUCAAUAUAAGGGUCGAAGGUGAUCUUAUGUCUGAAUGCUCUAUCAGAUGGAAGUCAGUGCAUGGGUAAGAAAAAAACUGUUGAAGUGUCUUUUCAUAAAGACUCACACAUUUAUGACAGUUUGUAGAACAGAAUGCUUUUCAAAAGAGUCCACCUGAGGAAUUUGUUACCACUAUAAAGAUUAUUCAAACUUUUCACUUGAUGGAGUUUCCGUUGUGGCUCAGCAGGUUAAGAACCCAACACUGUCUCCCUGAGGAUGUGGGUUUUAUCCUUGGCUUUGGCCAGUGAUUUAAGGAUCCGGUGUUGCCACAAGCUGCAGCAGAGGUCAUAGAUGUGACUCAGAUCCAGUGUUGACCCCGGCUGUGGUGUAGGCCUGCAGCUGCAGCUCCAAUUCAACCCCUAGUCUUGGAACUUCCAUAUGCUACAGGUUCAUCCCUAAAAAGGAAAAAAAAAUUUUGUUUUCAUUUGAAAGCUGUGAUAAUAACAGGAUUGUUAACAGAGAUUAUGAAAGGAGGCACAAAAGAAUUUUUUAAGUGAUAUUUGAAUGAAGUACAGAGGUAUAUUUUCUGGACUCUGGGGGAAUUUGACCCUUUGGUUUUCUUUCAUUCUUUUACAGAAUGAUGGUGGCUUUGUCUCUUUUUCCACCAUCUGUGCCUGAUGAGGUCUUUCACCAGUAAUGGUUACAUUUCACAUUAUCUCUUUUCAGACUCCAUACUCCUGUCAACCACAUAAGAUAUGAAAAGCAUGCUGGGAAGUAGUAGUCUCCUUUAUUUAAAUUAUAUAUAUAUAUAUCCAGAGAAGCGAUAGUUUCAAAGAGAGGUUAGCAGGUUUUCCUACUUUAUGAUAUAAAGUACCUGCAAUUUUUUGGAUAAGGAGCUCUGAAUAAUCCUCUAGUGGAAGAUAAUUCCCUAACAUCCAGCUAUCUAUCCCCCUCAAAUUACAGUUUGCAAUUCCUCACACAAACCAAUUUUUUCCAAGUAUUUAAUCUUCUAAUUAUGUACAGCGACUAAAAUUAUACUUCCUUACUUAUGUUUUAGAAACAUGAUUUUGGAGUUCCCUGGUGGCCUAGUCGUUAAAGAUCUGGUGUUGUUACUGCUGUGGCUCAGGUUCAGUCCCAGACCUGGGAACUUUUGCAUGCUGCAGGUGCAGCCAAAAAAAAAAAAAAA